RNAcentral lists this ribosomal RNA (500 nucleotides) under uncultured bacterium. Its description in RNAcentral is "partial 16S ribosomal RNA". It matches the Rfam family "Bacterial small subunit ribosomal RNA", at positions 30 to 523 of the family's 1533-position model. The record is from RNAcentral.
AUUGAACGCUGGCGGAAUGCUUUACACAUGCAAGUCGAACGGCAGCACGGGGGCAACCCUGGUGGCGAGUGGCGAACGGGUGAGUAAUACAUCGGAACGUGCCCAGUCGUGGGGGAUAACGUAGCGAAAGUUACGCUAAUACCGCAUACGACCUACGGAUGAAAGCGGGGGACCGUAAGGCCUCACGCGAUUGGAGCGGCCGAUGUCAGAUUAGGUAGUUGGUGAGGUAAAGGCUCACCAAGCCGACGAUCUGUAGCUGGUCUGAGAGGACGACCAGCCACACUGGGACUGAGACACGGCCCAGACUCCUACGGGAGGCAGCAGUGGGGAAUUUUGGACAAUGGGCGCAAGCCUGAUCCAGCCAUUCCGCGUGCAGGACGAAGGCCUUCGGGUUGUAAACUGCUUUUGUACGGAACGAAAAGGCUCUGGUUAAUACCUGGGGCUCAUGACGGUACCGUAAGAAUAAGCACCGGCUAACUACGUGCCAGCCGCCGCAGUAA